This 209-nucleotide long non-coding RNA is filed under the name Nicotiana benthamiana. RNAcentral describes it as "long non-coding RNA (NBEN_LNC035510)". The record is from RNAcentral. Lineage: Eukaryota; Viridiplantae; Streptophyta; Magnoliopsida; Solanales; Solanaceae.
AUGCUUCUCUUUAAUUUAUUUACUUUCUCUGUUUUGCAUGAACACCGGAGCCGAAGAGUUUCAUGCCGAAAUUCAAUGAUGCUACCACUUCAUAGAGAUUGCACAUCCUCAUCUUUUCCAGUUCUUACAUCAUAUGCCCAUAAAUAUAGAAAAAAAAAUCUUCUUGGAGCUGAACACGACUCUUUUCUUUUUUGUUUAUUUGCUUAUUG